AUACGGAGGAUCCGAGCGUUAUCCGGAUUUAUUGGGUUUAAAGGGUGCGCAGGCGGCCAUUUAAGUCAGCGGUUAAAUCGUGGGGCUCAACCCCAUUCUGCCGUUGAUACUGGGUGGCUUGAUUGCGGUCGAGGUUGGCGGAAUUCGUUGUGUAGCGGUGAAAUGCAUAGAUAUGACGAAGAACACCGAUUGCGUAGGCAGCUGACCAAACCGCAAAUGACGCUCAUGCACGAAAGUGCGGGGAUCGAACAGGAUUAGAUACCCUGGUAGUCCGCACAGUAAACGAUGAAUACUUGUUUUCGGCGAUAUAAUGUCGGAGGCAAAGCGAAAGCGAUAAGUAUUCCACCUGGGGAGUACGCCGGCAACGGUGAAACUCAAAUGAAUUGGCGGGG
Molecule: ribosomal RNA, 392 nt
Filed under: uncultured bacterium
Lineage: Bacteria
Description: partial 16S ribosomal RNA
Rfam family: Bacterial small subunit ribosomal RNA
Source: RNAcentral